This is a long non-coding RNA of Sesamum indicum (sesame), 980 nucleotides long. RefSeq lists it as uncharacterized. The record is from RefSeq and is a predicted model, not a curated record. NCBI's taxonomy places the organism in Eukaryota, Viridiplantae, Streptophyta, Magnoliopsida, Lamiales, Pedaliaceae.
UUGGUUUUUGGGGGGAGAACCGUCAAAGGGUAGGCACAAGAAAACUAGAGGCAAUAGAAAUGGUGAACGACGCUGUGUUCGCAGGUCUUCUUGGUCCUUCUCACCCUCCCCCGCUCCAAUUACUUGUUUACCGCUUCUCGCAACCACAUUCUCCGUGAUGGGUUUUGCCCCUUUUUCCUCUUUCUUGGGUUUUCCUUUGAUUUCUGUCUCAUGCUGCUGUUUUCGUUCUGAUGCACUUGUUUGCUUACUGUAAUAAUUCUGUGCAGCUACAGAAGCAAUUGCAUUUCGCUUCUUUUAGUAAUCACAACAGCAACAAUGUUAAUUCGCUUCGAGUGGCAUCGUCUGCCAGCAAUGCAGCAUUAGAAUUAGCUGACAUUGAUUGGGACGAUAACUUCUUAUAACAUAUGAUUUUGGUGCAUAUUAUCAAUUACAUAGCAAAUUGGGAAGUCCAUACUUAGGGUAAUGAGAUAUCUACUCCUGCAAUAAAAGGAACCAUCCUGCCUGGCAUCACGAGAAAGAGCAUACUCGAUGUUGCUCGUAGUCAAGGAUUUGAGGUUGCAGAAUGCCAGGUAACAGUGGAUGAAUUGCUCGAGGCUGAUGAAGUCUUCUGCACAGGAACUGCAGUUGUGGUUUCACCCGUCGGCAGCAUAACUUAUCUCAAUAAAAGGGUAACUUAUGGAAGUGAUGGAGUUGGUCGCGUAUCACAACUACUCUACUCUGCACUUACCAGCCUACAAAUGGGACUCACCGAGGAUAAAAUGGGUUGGAUAGUGGAGCUCAAGUAGGCUUUAUUAUCAUUUCAGAUUCUUGUCUUGUUUGGAUUAAUGGAUAAUUGAUUUCAGCCCCCUGGAUCCUAUACACUAGUGUGGGAUAAGAGUACCGUUUUGACUGUGGAACCCUAGUUUCUGUGUUUAUGUAUUUAUUUCUGACAGAUCUGUUUUCAGUAAUUUAAGCGUCUCGUAGCUCAUCAUUAAUAUUCA